RNAcentral lists this ribosomal RNA (636 nucleotides) under Triticum aestivum (bread wheat). RNAcentral describes it as "partial small subunit ribosomal RNA". Lineage: Eukaryota; Viridiplantae; Streptophyta; Magnoliopsida; Poales; Poaceae. The record is from RNAcentral.
AUGUGCUCCAUUUGUGGAGUAGAAGAGGAAAGCACAUUUCAUGCCCUAGUUAUUUGUCCUAAGGCUCGUGCACUGCGACUGGCCUUGAGAGAAUCGUGGAAUAUUCCUGAUGAAGAGUGGUUCAAAUUCCCGGGACCAGAUUGGCUAUUGAUUUUAUUGGAUUUUUUGAGCUUGCAACAGAGAGAGCAAGUUUUGUUUCUGUUCUGGCGAGCAUGGCACCUGAGAAAUGAUUUAAUUUUUGGGAAAGGGAAGGAAUCCAUUGCUGCAUCUGCAAUUUUUGUGGUAAACUAUUGGUCUUCUUUUACGUCCAGUCACAACUCUGUUGAGGUUGUUACUAGUAACAAAGGUAAAGGGAAAAUGGGAGGUGCUACACCAGAUUUCGCAACAUCACAAGAACAGGUGGGAUGGAAGCCUCCUCCAGAUGAUUAUAUCAAGAUCAAUGUUGAUGCCAGCUAUGUGGAGAGUAUUAGUGCGGCCAGUGUGGCGGUGGUUGUUAGGAACUCAUCUGGUGAAGUUAUUAUUUCUUCGUGGGACUUUCUGGGUCAGUGUUGCAGCGUGAACGAAGCCGAGCUACGUGCUUGUCUGGCAGGCCUUUAUAUAGGUAUUACUCUGUUGGGGAACGUAGCAGAAAUUUAA